UAUUGGUCAAUGGACGAGAGUCUGAACCAGCCAAAUCGCGUGAAGGAAGACUGCCCUACGGGUUGUAAACUUCUUUUGUACAGGAAUAAAAGACAUUACGUGUAAUGUAUUGCAUGUACUGUCCGAAUAAGCAUCGGCUAACUCCGUGCCAGCAGCCGCGGUAAUACGGAGGAUGCGAGCGUUAUCCGGAUUUAUUGGGUUUAAAGGGUGCGCAGGCGGGAUUUUAAGUCAGCGGUGAAAUUUUCAGGCUCAACCUGAACACUGCCGUUGAAACUGGUAUUCUUGAGUCUGGAUGAAGUAGGCGGAAUUCGUUGCGUAGCGGUAGCAUGCUUAGAUAUAACGAGGAACUCCGAUUGCGUAGGCAGCUUACUAAGCCAUAACUGACGCUCAAGCACGAAAGCGUGGGGAUCAAACA
RNAcentral lists this ribosomal RNA (415 nucleotides) under uncultured bacterium. RNAcentral describes it as "bacterial SSU rRNA". It matches the Rfam family "Bacterial small subunit ribosomal RNA", at positions 362 to 774 of the family's 1533-position model. The record is from RNAcentral.